Molecule: ribosomal RNA, 253 nt
Filed under: uncultured bacterium
Lineage: Bacteria
Description: partial 16S ribosomal RNA
Rfam family: Bacterial small subunit ribosomal RNA
Source: RNAcentral
UACGUAGGGUGCAAGCGUUAAUCAGAAUUACUGGGCGUAAAGCGUGCGCAGGCGGUUUUGUAAGACAGGCGUGAAAUCCCCGGGCUCAACCUGGGAAUUGCGCUUGUGACUGCAAAGCUGGAGUGCGGCAGAGGGGGAUGGAAUUCCGCGUGUAGCAGUGAAAUGCGUAGAUAUGCGGAGGAACACCGAUGGCGAAGGCAAUCCCCUGGGCCUGCACUGACGCUCAUGCACGAAAGCGUGGGGAGCAAACAGG